GUGAGGAAUAUUGGUCAAUGGACGGAAGUCUGAACCAGCCAUGCCGCGUGCAGGAAUAAGGUCCUAUGGAUUGUAAACUGCUUUUAUUCGGGAAUAAACCUCUUUACGUGUAGGGAGCUGAAGGUACCGAAGGAAUAAGCACCGGCUAACUCCGUGCCAGCAGCCGCGGUAAUACGGAGGGUGCAAGCGUUAUCCGGAAUCAUUGGGUUUAAAGGGUCCGCAGGCGGGCUAUCAAGUCAGAGGUGAAAUCCCACAGCUUAACUGUGGAACUGCCUUUGAAACUGAUGGUCUUGAAUUAAGUGGGCGUUGGCGGAAUAUGACAUGUAGCGGUGAAAUGCAUAGAUAUGUCAUGGAACACCGAAAGCGAAGGCAGCUAACGAUACUUAUAAUGACGCUCAUGGACGAAAGCGUGGGUAGCGAACAGGAUUAGAAACCCGGGUAGUCC
Molecule: ribosomal RNA, 445 nt
Filed under: uncultured bacterium
Lineage: Bacteria
Description: partial 16S ribosomal RNA
Rfam family: Bacterial small subunit ribosomal RNA
Source: RNAcentral